AUUAGUCAGAGUUUAUACAUGCAAAAAAA
Molecule: small RNA, 29 nt
Filed under: Arabidopsis thaliana (thale cress)
Lineage: Eukaryota; Viridiplantae; Streptophyta; Magnoliopsida; Brassicales; Brassicaceae
Description: ATSL221910
Source: RNAcentral